Molecule: ribosomal RNA, 287 nt
Filed under: uncultured bacterium
Lineage: Bacteria
Description: partial 16S ribosomal RNA
Rfam family: Bacterial small subunit ribosomal RNA
Source: RNAcentral
GUGGAUUAGAUACCCGGGUAGUCCACGCCGUAAACGAUGGAUACUUGGUGUUGGAGGUAUUGACCCCUUCAGUGCCGAAGCUAACGCGUUAAGUAUCCCGCCUGGGAAGUACGGUCGCAAGAUUAAAACUCAAAGAAAUUGACGGGGGCCCGCACAAGCGGUGGAGCAUGUGGUUCAAUUCGAUGCAACGCGAAGAACCUUACCUAGAUUUGACAUGUAUUGGAAGACUACCAGAAAUGGUGUCGCCUUCGGGCCGAUACACAGGUGCUGCAUGGCUGUCGCCAACU